GUCUAUGGCCAUGCCACCCUGAACACGCCCAAUCUUGUCUGAUCUCAGAAGCUAAGCAGGGUUGAGUCUGGUUAGUACUUGGAUGGGAGACCACCUAGGAAGACCAAGUGCUGUAGGUG
RNAcentral lists this ribosomal RNA (119 nucleotides) under Pteropus alecto (black flying fox). Lineage: Eukaryota; Metazoa; Chordata; Mammalia; Chiroptera; Pteropodidae. The record is from RNAcentral.